This 459-nucleotide ribosomal RNA is filed under the name uncultured bacterium. RNAcentral's name for it is "partial 16S ribosomal RNA". It matches the Rfam family "Bacterial small subunit ribosomal RNA", at positions 338 to 795 of the family's 1533-position model. The record is from RNAcentral.
CCUACGGGCGGCAGCAGUGAGGAAUAUUGGUCAAUGGCCGAGAGGCUGAACCAGCCAAGUCGCGUGAGGGAAGACGGCCCUACGGGUUGUAAACCUCUUUUGUCGGGGAGCAAAGCGAGUCACGUGUGACUCAUUGAGAGUACCCGAAGAAAAAGCAUCGGCUAACUCCGUGCCAGCAGCCGCGGUAAUACGGAGGAUGCGAGCGUUAUCCGGAUUUAUUGGGUUUAAAGGGUGCGCAGGCGGAGGUGCAAGUCAGCGGUCAAAUUGCGGGGCUCAACCCCGUACCGCCGUUGAAACUGCAGCCCUUGAGUGCGCGAGAAGUAUGCGGAAGGCGUGGUGUAGCGGUGAAAUGCAUAGAUAUCACGCAGAACUCCGAUUGCGAAGGCAGCAUACCGGCGCGCAACUGACGCUCAUGCACGAAAGCGUGGGUAUCGAACAGGAUUAGAUACCCCAGUAGUC